This 470-nucleotide ribosomal RNA is filed under the name uncultured bacterium. RNAcentral's name for it is "partial 16S ribosomal RNA". It matches the Rfam family "Bacterial small subunit ribosomal RNA", at positions 28 to 507 of the family's 1533-position model. The record is from RNAcentral.
GACGAACGCUGGCGGCGUGCUUAACACAUGCAAGUCGAACGGUGAACGAGGGAGCUUGCUCCCUCCGGAUCAGUGGCGAACGGGUGAGUAACACGUGAGCAAUCUGCCCCGAACUCUGGGAUAAGCGUUGGAAACGACGUCUAAUACCGGAUACGACGCGGGAGGGCAUCCUCUCCGCGUGGAAAGAACUUCGGUUGGGGAUGGGCUCGCGGCCUAUCCGCUUGUUGGUGAGGUAACGGCUCACCAAGGCGACGACGGGUAGCCGGCCUGAGAGGGGGACCGGGCACACGGGGACUGAGACACGGCCCAGACUCCAACGGGAGGCAGCAGUGGGGAAUAUUGCACAAUGGGCGCAAGCCUGAUGCAGCAACGCCGCGUGAGGGACGACGGCCUUCGGGUUGUAAACCUCUUUUAGCAGGGAAGAAGCGAAAGUGACGGUACCUGCAGAAAAAGCACCGGCUAACUACGUG